CAACCAGGAAGCACUGAAGGGACCCGGGCCAAGAUCGUGGGCAGCGUGAUCCCACCCGCUAAGCCUUCACUUUUCUCCUCUCAGGAUGUGGUGCUGUCGAGGGGCCACGGGGCAAGCACGAGCAUCUUCCUGAGAAGAGAGGCACCCUGGCUCCCUCGACAUUUGACAGUGCACCUCAGGGAGGGCUGACCCUGCUCAGAAGUCGUCCAUCCCGUUCCCAGGUGGAACCGGCAGCACGUCAGCUGCCAGCAGAGAGGGAGCAGUGCAAACCUACGCACAGGAAGUUGGGCAGGAUGUGCUUGGGCCCUGGCCUGCCAAGAUUCCAAGGAAAGCCUGAGCAUAUUUCAGGAGUGGGAAGGACACUGUGCAGAGCCUGGGCCUGUUUCUAGGAGAAGGAGAGGAGAUAUUCCCAAUGUGGAGAAGGCGAGACAGGCUGGACGAUUCUUUCCCCGCUCUGUCUUUUGGGAGAGGUUUCCCUUUGUCAUGACGCUGCGCACUUGGUGUAAGCAGAUCCAGAUGCUGAGGACAUGCCCAGCCUCACCUGGCUCCCCUCAAGGCUGCGGUGUGCCCAUCUAGUUUUCUUAAGCAAUCAGCGCCAGACAGCUGAGACAGAUGCGCAGCAUUCUCCCCAGGUCAAGAGAGCGAGUUGGGCACCUAGAGGGAUCUCUAGGGCAGCGAGACAUCUGCAUGCUUUCUAGUGUGUCCUGACUACGAUGUGGGGAAGGAGCAUCUCAGUGUAGUUUUGAUUACAUUUCUCUUGACUUUCCUUGUGUACGAGAGGCAGUUAUUUCUGUUUCCGUCUCUACCUCCCCUGCCGGUCCUGCUGUGGAGUGGUUGGUCUUUUCGUCAUUAAUGUGCAGUAAUGCAACAGGAAGUGAAGACACCAUCUGCUUUGAUUCUGAUGUGUGGUGCAAGUAUAUUUCAUGCUUGGUCCUCCUUUUUAAAUUUUAUUCAUCUUUUCCUUUUUUGACCUACAGAUUUCUUCUAUCUAUCUGUAUACGGUCAGCAUAUUAAUCUUUUGUUUUAUGGUGUCUUAACGUUUACUCACACUUCUAAUCUGCACUCCAAAAUUACUCCUUUUUCUAACUCCUAUGUUUCCUUCUAGAUGUUUCAUGGUUUAACUUUUAGCGGGUUUGUGUUUUAUAUUUAAAUGCUCAGUUCAGCCCUGUCAAAUUUUGGAGCUACUUGGUCUUACUUCUGUCCUAUUUUCUACAUGUUUUCUCUUUUACUGCCUGGUUUAUAGUUUGUGUGUUCUUCAUCUUGGGUGCAUGUGCUGCUGCUGAUUAUUUCGGUUCUGGCUCAUCUUGCCGUUGCCCUCGUAACACUACUGCUCUGCGGGGUAACGUAGCUCAGAUUAGGCAGAACUUACUACUCCACCCGAAGCACCGCCACUUUCUCUACCUCCCUCCAUUACCCAAUUUUAGUUUAUCAUGUUAUUUAAAAAAUUCUCUGGGUUAGCUUCUGUCCUUUUAAUACUACUUGAUUUUCUCAGCUUUGAAUGAUUUCUUUUGACCCCCAGGACUCAGUGCUGUGAUCUCCGAGGUGUUCAACUUGUCACCAGGAGCUGGUGAGAUAGUUUAUUUGAAAGGAAAAUCCAAAAGCGUACUUAAAAAAUCAUUAGACUGGGAGGCAUGAGCCGUUAUGGCAUGAGCCAAAUGACCUAACGUUGUCAGCUAAAGCCGAGGGGUGUCCUCAGGGUCAGAUUGCACAGGAAACAGCGCAGCCCUGGCCUCCCUCUCCACGGGGCGUCUCAGGGGCUCUGGGUCAGCCUAAGCAGAGUGUCACAGGGAGGAGCCCGUCUGGAACGAUGCACUCAUCCAUGCACUCAUUCAUUCAGAGUACGUUGAUCGAGUGCCUACUGUGACGUGCGAGGGAUGCAGGAUGAACAAACCGGGCCCCUCCCUCACCACCCGCCCCCGCCUUGCACAGGGCUGGGGCCUUCUAGUGGGGUACAGCCAGCACGCAAUCAGACGUGGGUAAGGAGUCAAGUAGGUAAAUGCUAUGAACAAGAAUACAUAAAGGCGGGGGCUCCAGAUGGAUGGCGCUGACGUUUGGAGCAGGGAGCUCAGGAAAGUAGCCCCAGGAGGUGACGUUGGAGCUCUGGGUGUCCAGAGGUCAUAGAACGGGUUUGACUGAUGUGACAUCUUAGAGUGAGUAACAAAACUUGCUGGAAGAACUAAGUUCCAGCUUCUUCACAGCAGGUCUUAUGUAACAUCUGGCUUCCCAAAACAGGAGAUGGUCAGAAAGAAAGAGUGGACUAGGCAUAGGGAGCCCACCAGGGAAGGGUCCUAGGUCAGCAGACGCCAGUCCAGGGAACACUCUAGAUCAGUGCCACUGGACAGGCUCCGGGCUGGCCUGGCAGCAUCCGGCCUGGUCAGGACAGCCCAGCAGCCUCAGGCUGAAGGGUGUUCAGCAGAAGGCUUUCCCGAGGACACUGCAACAAGACUAGGGGUGCUCCAGGUGAGGGCCAGAGGCUCUGGGACGUGCUGGCUCCACAGCCAGCCUGACUCGGCAUAGAUGGGGCACAGUAAAUAUUGGCUGGACAGGUGGGCGAUAGCUGUACAGCGCCUUACACGUGAGCAAGAGGCAAAGUCCACGUCAGCUGAACAUUGUGUGCAGCGGUGAUUUUUGCUGAUUUCUGACAGCAGACUGAGCCAACAAAAUGGGACCACUAUGAAGGGAACAGAGACCUUCUCUUCCCAAGUUUCUGUGGCCUGUUAAGCGAUAACGCCCUCUGGAUGCUGGCUGUCUGAUACCUCACUUUCUUGUGUGUGCUUUUCCACAUUGUUUGAAUGUUUUAUUUGGGCAUGUAUCAUUUAAAAGGGAAGCUCUUUUUCUGAAUGCUAACACUCUUGAUUUUCAUAAAACAAAAUCCCGAAGCAGGAAGAAGAGUCAUCUCCGUGUGGAACAAUCAGGAAAACCUCCAACCACAUGGCACUGCUGAGAGCUGGUGACUUCCUACUGUGUCGGAGCAGACGAUGCGGCUUGCUCAUCACCCAGUGCGUGAUGACACAGGCUGUCAGCUAGUGUUAGGGCCUGUGUGGCUGCUAGUUUUCCUAGGAAGGACACAGAAGUCCAGACAAAGGGACCCUUGAGGACGGGAACACCAGGAAUUCAUGGCAUUUUGUGGAAAACCUUAAAAUAGUUUCCUUGGAGUAAAAGUGUUUUGCAUCAUCAGAAAGUUUCAUUUGUCCUUGGGAUUCUGUUACCUGAU
Long non-coding RNA from Equus caballus (horse), 3214 nucleotides. NCBI's taxonomy places the organism in Eukaryota, Metazoa, Chordata, Mammalia, Perissodactyla, Equidae. The record is from Ensembl.